This 425-nucleotide ribosomal RNA is filed under the name uncultured bacterium. RNAcentral describes it as "bacterial SSU rRNA". It matches the Rfam family "Bacterial small subunit ribosomal RNA", at positions 356 to 795 of the family's 1533-position model. The record is from RNAcentral.
GGGGAAUCUUCCGCAAUGGGCGAAAGCCUGACGGAGCAAGACCGCGUGAGGGAGGAAGGCCUAUUGGUUGUAAACCUCUUUUGAUAGGGAAGAAUACAAUGACGGUACCUAUCGAAUCAGCAUCGGCUAACUCCGUGCCAGCAGCCGCGGUAAUACGGAGGAUGCAAGCGUUAUCCGGAUUUAUUGGGCGUAAAGCGUCCGUAGGUGGCAAACCAAGUCAGUUGUUAAAGCGUAGAGCUUAACUCUAUAACGGCAAUUGAAACUGGUUAGCUAGAGUGCGAUAGGGGCAAGGGGAAUUCCCAGUGUAGCGGUGAAAUGCGUAGAUAUUGGGAAGAACAUCGGUGGCGAAGGCGCCUUGCUGGGUCUGCACUGACACUGAGGGACGAAAGCUAGGGGAGCGAAAGGGAUUAGAUACCCCUGUAGUC